RNAcentral lists this long non-coding RNA (1073 nucleotides) under Equus caballus (horse). Its description in RNAcentral is "lncRNA (ENSECAG00000035845.3)". The record is from RNAcentral. Lineage: Eukaryota; Metazoa; Chordata; Mammalia; Perissodactyla; Equidae.
GGAAACCACCUACAAAAUGAAAAGACAACCUGACAAUUGAGAGAAGAUAUUGUCAAACCGUAUAUUUGAGUAAAAUGAAUUCUCUUGAGAAGUCUGGGAAGAAUAAGCAAUGAAAGAUAGAAUUUCCAUGGUCCUCAGAAAGUAAUAUCAUCCAGGCGAAGUAAUAUUUAUUACCCAACCAUCAUUUCUUCUGGAACACAUAUCAAAUAAGCUGUCCUGGGGGAGACAUGAGGCUGUAGGAAAAAGCAAAGAAAAAUCAAAUCGAUUUCUUAGACUGGGACAUGGAGACCACUUUCAGAGGCUUCAGAAGGUGAGAACAAAGCACUGACUUGUCCUCAGGAAAAACCAUAAGGUUGAUGGAUCCGAAUGACGCCUGUACAACUAAAGCCAGAGCAGGAAGGAAGUCCCUGGAAAGAGAAAUUUUAUUACUUCCUCACUUCAUAUUGAAAAAAUUGAGAAAGUACAACUUAUCUCAGCAGGCGCAGAAUAAUUGCCAAUUCUCCUCAGAUAGUAAAACCCAACUUAUUCAUCAAAAACAAGUAAGGCCAGGGCCAGCCUGGUGGUGUAGCAGGUUUUGCCUUUUGCCUUUGGAGGUGGUUCAAAUGGAAACAGCUGUAAUCAAUUAAGAUGCGGUGAUUUCAGAUAACCCACUCUCUUUCUUUACAUGGUGACUGGUUAUCCAACCAGGGGCUGGUGAUAAAAGUGUGCUUAAGAGAAAUAAAUUAGUAGCGGUAGAUUUGUCUGGAUAAGUUGAAGCCGGUAUCAGUCAUACCUGAUUUUGACUGCAUCUCAGCCAUAGGAAUAAAAAAUGAAGUUUUAUGAUAAAAUCAGUCAAUACACUUUUUUUCAUGAAAUAAACUAAAAAGUUACUGACAACACCCAAUCACUUGUCACAUUAGCCCAGAACCAUUUACUAUGAUACUUUUCACUAUAGGAAUGAUUGAUAGAAAAUCUCUAUCAUACACAAUAAUGUUCCAGACCUAGCAAUCCUUUUACAGCCUGUCAUUGUCCCCAGGAUCCUUUCCAAAUUUUUUUUAACAGGACUUACAAUGCUCUUUGUGACAAGAUGUAAU